Molecule: small nucleolar RNA, 115 nt
Organism: Phyllostomus hastatus (greater spear-nosed bat)
Lineage: Eukaryota; Metazoa; Chordata; Mammalia; Chiroptera; Phyllostomidae
Product: small nucleolar RNA SNORA32
Exons: 1
Source: RefSeq, a predicted model, not a curated record
UGGAGUUACCACAAAAAGGUAAAAAUGGCAUUUACCAUGGACAUGACUACAAAAUAUUUGCCCACUAGGUUUUCUUUCUGCUACGUUGCUAGCGUUCAGCCUGCUGGAAACAUUU